AGCAAACAUGAUUAGAUACCCUGGUAGUCCCACGCAGUAAAUGAUGUCGACUUGGAGGUCGUGCCCUUGAGGCGUGGCUUCCGGAGCUAACGCGUUAAGUCGACCGCCUGGGGAGUACGGCCGCAAGGUUAAAACUCAAAUGAAUUGACGGGGGCCCGCACAAGCGGUGGAGCAUGUGGUUUAAUUCGAUGCAACGCGAAGAACCUUACCUGGUCUUGACAUCCACAGAACUUUCCAGAGAUGGAUUGGUGCCUUCGGGAACUGUGAGACAGGUGCUGCAUGGCUGUCGUCAGCUCGUGUUGUGAAAUGUUGGGUUAAGUCCCGCAACGAGCGCAACCCUUAUCCUUUGUUGCCAGCGGUUAGGCCGGGAACUCAAGAGGAGACUGCCAGUGAUAAACUGGAGGAAGGUGGGGAUGACGUCAAGUCAUCAUGGCCCUUACGACCAGGGCUACACACGUGCUACAAUGGCGCAUACAAAGAGAAGCAAACUCGCGAGAGCAAGCGGACCUCAUAAAGUGCGUCGUAGUCCGGAUUGGAGUCUGCAACUCGACUCCAUGAAGUCGGAAUCGCUAGUAAUCGUGAAUCAGAAUGUCACGGUGAAUACGUUCCCGGGCCUUGUACACACCGCCCGUCACACCAUGGGAGUGGGUUGCAAAAGAAGUAGGUAGCUUAACCUCGGGAGGGCGCUAC
This 690-nucleotide ribosomal RNA is filed under the name Cronobacter sakazakii. Its description in RNAcentral is "bacterial SSU rRNA". It matches the Rfam family "Bacterial small subunit ribosomal RNA", at positions 767 to 1457 of the family's 1533-position model. The record is from RNAcentral. Lineage: Bacteria; Pseudomonadati; Pseudomonadota; Gammaproteobacteria; Enterobacterales; Enterobacteriaceae.